Molecule: non-coding RNA, 233 nt
Filed under: Bacillus glycinifermentans
Lineage: Bacteria; Bacillati; Bacillota; Bacilli; Caryophanales; Bacillaceae
Description: T-box sequence
Rfam family: T-box leader
About the family: Uncharged tRNA acts as the effector for transcription antitermination of genes in the T-box leader family.
Source: RNAcentral
UCACCCGCUUUGAAUGGGAAGAGUACAAAAACAGACGCUUACAGAGAGGGACUCCUAGAGCUGAAAGGUUUCCCAGCCAGUCUUUUUUGGAAGGUCGCCCAGGAGCGCAAUUUCUUGAACAUAAAAAGUAGAGAAAUUCGGGAAAGGCCCGUUAUCCCAUUAAGUGCGUGAAUGCCUCAUUCGGCGUUCAUGAAAAAAGGUGGUACCGCGAGAGAGUUCUCUUCGUCCUUUUA